CCCUGGAGGGAAUCGACUGCCAGUUUAAGGAGUCAUUGUCCAGUUCAGACUCCAGAACACGAAACAUAGAAACUGACAGGAAAAGACCAAGUAUAAAUUGCAACUUGUAGAGAAGAAUCAUCUUAAAUCCUGGCACUGCAUUCAAGGGGGAGUUUGAGCAAGGAAUGUUGCUAAAACAGGGCUAAAACCAGGAACUCAGAAUAUCGUUCUACAAUAGAACCUAAAAACUGUUUCCAACCCAUCACGACGUCACCCUGAAAAAUGAGUGAGCAGUCACUGAGGCUUCCCAAGUUUGAAAAUUCCACAAGACUGAGAGCAAGUGUUUUGUUGAAACUGAAGUCAAGAUGAAGUCAGCUGACUCUUGAACCUCAGGUGAAGUGACUCAGGGCCCACACCCCGGUUCUGAGGCAGGGACACAUUUUACUUGCGGCACCCUGCAGCUUUGGAUGAGGCUGCCACCAGGGUGAAUCCUGGCCCUGCUAUCACGUGGGCAGCCGCUGCAUCCUCCGGAGGCUGUGGAUGGGAGUCACCAGGCUGGGAGGUCUGGAGUAAGAUCUGUGCCAUCCACCUUGCCCAAUCCUGUACCAGUGCCUGUGUUUCAAAAUCUCAAAAUAAAAGUGAUUAUUCUUGCAACACAUCUAGGUGUACUAAGUGAAUAC
RNAcentral lists this long non-coding RNA (659 nucleotides) under Pongo abelii (Sumatran orangutan). RNAcentral's name for it is "lincRNA". The record is from RNAcentral. Lineage: Eukaryota; Metazoa; Chordata; Mammalia; Primates; Hominidae.